RNAcentral lists this ribosomal RNA (274 nucleotides) under uncultured bacterium. RNAcentral describes it as "partial 16S ribosomal RNA". It matches the Rfam family "Bacterial small subunit ribosomal RNA", at positions 523 to 796 of the family's 1533-position model. The record is from RNAcentral.
AUACGGAGGGUGCAAGCGUUACUCGGAAUCACUGGGCGUAAAGCGCGCGCAGGCGGGCUGAUAAGUUGGAUGUGAAAGCCUACGGCUCAACCGUAGAACCGCAUCCAAAACUGUCAGUCUAGAGUGUGGGAGAGGAAGAUGGAAUUAGUUGUGUAUGGGUAAAAUCCGUAGAGAUAACUAGGAAUACCAAAAGCGAAGGCAAUCUUCUGGAACACUACUGACGCUGAGGCGCGAAGGCGUGGGGAGCAAACAGGAUUAGAUACCCUAGUAGUCC